This 537-nucleotide long non-coding RNA is filed under the name Rattus norvegicus (Norway rat). RNAcentral describes it as "long non-coding RNA NONRATT010656". The record is from RNAcentral. Lineage: Eukaryota; Metazoa; Chordata; Mammalia; Rodentia; Muridae.
AGCACCACUGCAGUCAGUAGCAACCUCAGCUCUCCCGUGACAGUGAGGAGCAGUCAGAGUUUUGACUCAAGCUUGCACGGAGCUGGAAGUGGGGUUUCUCGGGUACCGUCCUGCAGGAUGUGUCAUCUUCCUCGCAACGGGCUAAUCAGCCUUAAUUAGGAAGUCAGCCUCAAACCCACCCAUCCUUUCUCCUGAAAUGCAACUGGCAACAAAUGAACUCAUCUGUUUCACAUUUCCACGUGGGGUGUGGGGGACUAAGGAGGCUGGAGUUGCAUUCUUCCAGAUCUUAAUUAAAUCCUUCCUCUACAUGUAAACAUUCCCAAAAGAAAUGUCAACUGCACCAGCCCAGACGAGGAUCGGGAGUCUCUGAGGACUCUAUUUUAUUGAUUUUUAAAUGCCCCAUGACGUUCAAGCAUACCUUUGCCUCAGUUUCCCCUGUUGUUACCUCUAUUGGCCCUACAGAUUUCCUAGAUGCUGUUAGUAAGAAACGACCUCUCCAUCAUUGCUUUAAAUGUUUUAAUUACACAUUAAAAUGUU